This 252-nucleotide ribosomal RNA is filed under the name uncultured bacterium. RNAcentral's name for it is "partial 16S ribosomal RNA". It matches the Rfam family "Bacterial small subunit ribosomal RNA", at positions 525 to 776 of the family's 1533-position model. The record is from RNAcentral.
ACGGAGGAUGCAAGCGUUAUCCGGAAUUAUUGGGCGUAAAGCGUCCGUAGGUGGUUUUAAAAGUCAGUUGUUAAAGCCCACAGCUCAACUGUGGAUCGGCAAUUGAAACUGUAAGACUUGAGUGUGGUAGGGGUAGAGGGAAUUCCUAGUGUAGCGGUGAAAUGCGUAGAUAUUAGGAAGAACACCAGUGGCGAAGGCGCUCUACUGGGCCAUAACUGACACUGAUGGACGAAAGCUAGGGGAGCGAAAGGG